RNAcentral lists this unclassified non-coding RNA (233 nucleotides) under plant metagenome. RNAcentral's name for it is "partial contains small subunit ribosomal RNA, internal transcribed spacer 1, and 5.8S ribosomal RNA". The record is from RNAcentral.
UUUCCGUAGGUGGACCUGCGGAAGGAUCAUUAUUGGAUUUUGAAACUUCAGGCUGCUGCUGGCUCUCCUCGGAGGGCAUGUGCACGCUUGUUGUCCAUUAUUUCUCCCACUGUGCACAAAUUGUAGACCUUUCAGUAGGCCUAUGUUGUUUUUCACAAUCUCUGAAUGUAAUAGAAUGGUUUUGAAUCUUGGGAAAUACAAUACAACUUUCAGCAACGGAUCUCUUGGCUCUC